This is a long non-coding RNA of Olea europaea var. sylvestris, 140 nucleotides long. RefSeq lists it as uncharacterized. The transcript has 3 exons. Lineage: Eukaryota; Viridiplantae; Streptophyta; Magnoliopsida; Lamiales; Oleaceae. The record is from RefSeq and is a predicted model, not a curated record.
GUCAGGCUAUGAUAAAGCCUUGAACAAGUUUUUUGAUAAUGUCUUACAGGCAUUCCUUAAACACAUUGAUUUCAAGGUGGUUCGUUGCGCUGUCAUUGCAAGUCCAGGGUUCACUAAGGUCUGUCAUUUGGAAUCAGCAA